Molecule: ribosomal RNA, 392 nt
Filed under: uncultured bacterium
Lineage: Bacteria
Description: partial 16S ribosomal RNA
Rfam family: Bacterial small subunit ribosomal RNA
Source: RNAcentral
AUACGUAGGGAGCGAGCGUUGUCCGGAAUUACUGGGUGUAAAGGGUGCGCAGGCGGCCAUUUAAGUCAGCGGUUAAAUCGUGGGGCUCAACCCCAUUCUGCCGUUGAUACUGGGUGGCUUGAUUGCGGUCGAGGUUGGCGGAAUUCGUUGUGUAGCGGUGAAAUGCAUAGAUAUGACGAAGAACACCGAUUGCGUAGGCAGCUGACCAGACCGCAAAUGACGCUCAUGCACGAAAGUGCGGGGAUCGAACAGGAUUAGAUACCCUGGUAGUCCGCACAGUAAACGAUGAAUACUUGUUUUCGGCGAUAUAAUGUCGGAGGCAAAGCGAAAGCGAUAAGUAUUCCACCUGGGGAGUACGCCGGCAACGGUGAAACUCAAAUGAAUUGGCGGGG